Molecule: ribosomal RNA, 458 nt
Filed under: uncultured bacterium
Lineage: Bacteria
Description: SSU rRNA
Rfam family: Bacterial small subunit ribosomal RNA
Source: RNAcentral
AGGAUGAAUGCUGGCGGCGCGCCUAACACAUGCAAGUCGAGCGGUAAGGCCCUUAGGGGUACACGAGCGGCGGACGGCUGAGUAACGCGUGGGAACAUGCCCCAAAGUGAGGAAUAACUGCCCGAAAGGGUAGCUAAUGCCGCAUAUGAUCUUAGGAUUAAAGGAUUUAUCCGCUUUGGGAGUGGCCUGCGUACGAUUAGAUAGUUGGUGAGGUAAAGGCUCACCAAGUCUACGAUCGUUAACUGUUCUGAGAGGAUGAUCAGUCAGACUGGAACUGAGACACGGUCCAGACUCCUACGGGAGGCAGCAGUGAGGAAUCUUCCACAAUGGGCGAAAGCCUGAUGGAGCGACGCCGCGUGCAGGAUGAAGGCCUUAGGGUUGUAAACUGCUUUUCGUCGGGGACGAGCAAGGACGGUACCCGAGGAAGAAGCCCCGGCUAACUACGCGCCAGCAGCCGC